RNAcentral lists this ribosomal RNA (384 nucleotides) under uncultured bacterium. Its description in RNAcentral is "bacterial SSU rRNA". It matches the Rfam family "Bacterial small subunit ribosomal RNA", at positions 29 to 439 of the family's 1533-position model. The record is from RNAcentral.
AACGAACGCUGGCGGCAGGCUUAACACAUGCAAGUCGAACGGUUGUAGCAAUACAGCAGUGGCAGACGGGUGAGUAACACGUGGGAACCUUCCUAGGGGUACGGAACAACUCAGGGAAACUUGAGCUAAUACCGUAUACGUCCGUGAGGAGAAAGAUUUAUCGCCCUUAGACGGGCCCGCGUAGGAUUAGGUAGUUGGUGGGUAAUGGCCUACCAAGCCUACGAUCCUUAGCUGAUCUGAGAGGANGAUCAGCCACACUGGGACUGAGACACGGCCCAGACUCCUACGGGAGGCAGCAGUGGGGAAUCUUGGACAAUGGGCGCAAGCCUGAUCCAGCCAUGCCGCGUGAGUGAAGAAGGCCCUUGGUUGUAAGUACUCUUUACC